RNAcentral lists this small RNA (28 nucleotides) under Bombyx mori (domestic silkworm). RNAcentral's name for it is "ovarian small RNA-29494". Lineage: Eukaryota; Metazoa; Arthropoda; Insecta; Lepidoptera; Bombycidae. The record is from RNAcentral.
UCUAGGUUUAGUCCAAGACAUUGUAGGC